This 292-nucleotide ribosomal RNA is filed under the name uncultured bacterium. RNAcentral describes it as "partial 16S ribosomal RNA". The record is from RNAcentral.
GGACUACCGGGGUAUCUAAUCCUGUUUGCUCCCCACGCUUUCGGAGUUGAGUGUCAGUUCCUGUCCAGGUCGCCGCCUUCGCCUCUGGUGUUCCUCCCGAUCUCUACGCAUUUCACCGCUACACCGGGAAUUCCACGACCCUCUCCAGGACUCCAGUCCCACCGUUUCAAAGGCACUUCUGGGGUUAAGCCCCAGGAUUUCACCCCUGACUAAUGAGACCACCUACCUCCCCUUUACGCCCAAUAAUUCCGAGCAACGCUUGCACCCUCUGUAUUACCGCGGCGGCUGGCAC